CGGGUCCCCUUCCACACUGUGGAAGAUUUAAUCGUUUGCUCUUUGCAAUAAAUCUUGCUACUGCUUUCUCUUUGGGUCCACACUGCUUUUAUGAGCUGUAACACUCACCGCAAAGAUCUGCAGCCUCACUCCUGAAGCCAGCCAGACCACAAGCCCAACGGAGGAAGGAAGAACUCCAGAUGCGCUGCCUUAAGUGCAGUAAUACUCACCGCGAAGGUCUGCAGCUUCACUCCUGAGCCAGCGAGACCACGAACCCACCAGAAGGAAAAAACUCUGAACACAUCUGAACAUCAGAAGGAACAAACUCCAGACGCGCCACCUUAAGAGUUGUAACACUCACCGCGAGGGUCCGUGGCUUCAUUCUUGAAGUCAGUGAAACCAAGAACCCACCAAUUCCGGACACAAAGUGAUUAGGAUUAUGACUAAUUUUUUAUAAUGUCUUCUUUUUACUUAUUUUUCCAUCAAAAAAAUUCUAAAAGUAAAGAAAAGCAAGAAUUAUUUCUGAGACUGUGACUAUUCCUAACUCUUCUUUUCCAUCUUAUCAAAUCAUAGCAGUUGUUUUCUUUUAAUGAAAACUCUUGCUACAACAUACUACUAAAACAGAUAAGGGAGACAGGGUAACAUAUUUCUAAAGACAGAAAUAGCGAGCCAGACUUUAAUGACCAAAGGAAUGGUACAAAUAGGCCAGAUAAAUUUUCUAUCCAUGAAAAUGUUAACUGCGAUUUACAUGACUACUAUGCUGACAACUUCUAGUUGCAGGAAACUAGGUAUAAUUAUAAGAAAUUUUGACAACGUACAGAAGUUUUCUUCACAAAAUGGGUGAGUGUUGUGUAGAAAUAUCUCACCUUGCUUAAAAAUCUUCCACUGGUGUAGAGGGUCAGCUGUUCAUUGUAUGAGCGUUCAGAUGAGGGAUAGGUAACAUGAAAACACACUUUGUCAUGAUUUUAGAUCAUCACAUGUAUCUCAAGCUGGGUGAGUGUAUUUCACUGUGUCUUCCCUAGAACAAGCCACCACUUUGUUAUAUUGCUGCAUGGUCUGUAGUCCUCAUUGCUUGUAAAAGUGACUAACAUGCAGUUGUUCAUUCUAGUUCCUGCUCAUUACAAGCUAUGGAGCAUUACAUUCUGGAAACUUCUGGUUUGGUUAGUCCCCACUCUGACGCUU
This 1161-nucleotide long non-coding RNA is filed under the name Homo sapiens (human). Its description in RNAcentral is "LHRI_LNC1217.1". The record is from RNAcentral. Lineage: Eukaryota; Metazoa; Chordata; Mammalia; Primates; Hominidae.